Molecule: transfer RNA, 76 nt
Filed under: Dehalococcoidia bacterium
Lineage: Bacteria; Bacillati; Chloroflexota; Dehalococcoidia
Description: tRNA-Arg
Rfam family: tRNA
About the family: Transfer RNA (tRNA) molecules are approximately 80 nucleotides in length. Their secondary structure includes four short double-helical elements and three loops (D, anti-codon, and T loops). Further hydrogen bonds mediate the characteristic L-shaped molecular structure. tRNAs have two regions of fundamental functional importance: the anti-codon, which is responsible for specific mRNA codon recognition, and the 3' end, to which the tRNAs corresponding amino acid is attached (by aminoacyl-tRNA synthetases). tRNAs cope with the degeneracy of the genetic code in two manners: having more than one tRNA (with a specific anti-codon) for a particular amino acid; and 'wobble' base-pairing, i.e. permitting non-standard base-pairing at the 3rd anti-codon position.
Source: RNAcentral
GCACCGGUAGCUCAGUGGAUAGAGCACUAGUCUUCGGAACUAGGUGUCGGGGGUUCGAAUCCCUCCCGGUGCGCCA